This 497-nucleotide ribosomal RNA is filed under the name uncultured bacterium. RNAcentral's name for it is "partial 16S ribosomal RNA". It matches the Rfam family "Bacterial small subunit ribosomal RNA", at positions 28 to 507 of the family's 1533-position model. The record is from RNAcentral.
GAUGAACGCUGGCGGCGUGCCUAAUACAUGCAAGUCGAGCGAACAGACGAGGAGCUUGCUCCUUUGACGUUAGCGGCGGACGGGUGAGUAACACGUAGGUAACCUACCUAUAAGACUGGGAUAACUUCGGGAAACCGGAGCUAAUACCGGAUAAUAUUUCGAACCGCAUGGUUCGAUAGUGAAAGAUGGCUUUGCUAUCACUUAUAGAUGGACCUGCGCCGUAUUAGCUAGUUGGUAAGGUAACGGCUUACCAAGGCAACGAUCCGUAGCCGACCUGAGAGGGUGAUCAGCCACACUGGAACUGAGACACGGUCCAGACUCCUACGGGAGGCAGCAGUAGGGAAUCUUCCGCAAUGGGCGAAAGCCUGACGGAGCAACGCCGCGUGAGUGAUGAAGGUCUUCGGAUCGUAAAACUCUGUUAUUAGGGAAGAACAAACGUGUAAGUAACUGUGCACGUCUUGACGGUACCUAAACAGAAAGCCACGGCUAACUACGUG